Molecule: long non-coding RNA, 432 nt
Filed under: Carica papaya (papaya)
Lineage: Eukaryota; Viridiplantae; Streptophyta; Magnoliopsida; Brassicales; Caricaceae
Description: long non-coding RNA (CPAP_LNC004500)
Source: RNAcentral
AACCAAUGAAGCAUAAUUUAUAACAAACUCAUUUAUUAACAUAAAAAUCUUUACUGUCCACUUACCUCGGUGAGAUUCAUGAAAAUAACCUAUGAAAACAAUAACCUUAUAAUAUCAUGAAACACUUUAUAACAUAACACAUAUCAUACCUUUACAUUUCAAUCAUCAGAAAACAGAUUUCCUCUUUUACCAGCCUACUAGUAUCCAUGGGGAUCCAUAGGGGGUCCCCGCUACACGUGAACCAUUAACAUUUACAACCUGAUUCCAGGGCCGUUCCCAUACCCCGUCCGGUAUGGGCGCUAAAACACAUAAGGUCUCCAUACCCCGUCCGGUGUCAGCAUUUUCUUACCACGCGGCGUGUCCUGGUUGGCCGGGGCUGCUGACUGGGCUGCUAACGUGGCACAACUUUUCUAAAUUACAUUUUGACAUCUG